AUUGAGCGCUGGCGGCAUGCCUUACACAUGCAAGUCGAACGGUAACAGGUCUUCGGAUGCUGACGAGUGGCGAACGGGUGAGUAAUACAUCGGAACGUGCCCAGACGUGGGGGAUAACGAGGCGAAAGCUUUGCUAAUACCGCAUACGAUCUAAGGAUGAAAGCAGGGGACCGCAAGGCCUUGCGCGUUUGGAGCGGCCGAUGGCAGAUUAGGUAGUUGGUGGGAUAAAAGCUUACCAAGCCGACGAUCUGUAGCUGGUCUGAGAGGACGACCAGCCACACUGGGACUGAGACACGGCCCAGACUCCUACGGGAGGCAGCAGUGGGGAAUUUUGGACAAUGGGCGAAAGCCUGAUCCAGCAAUGCCGCGUGCAGGAUGAAGGCCUUCGGGUUGUAAACUGCUUUUGUACGGAACGAAAAGGCUCUGGCUAAUACCUGGGGCACAUGACGGUACCGUAAGAAUAAGCACCGGCUAACUACGUG
Molecule: ribosomal RNA, 482 nt
Filed under: uncultured bacterium
Lineage: Bacteria
Description: partial 16S ribosomal RNA
Rfam family: Bacterial small subunit ribosomal RNA
Source: RNAcentral